UACGAAGGGGGCUAGCGUUGCUCGGAAUCACUGGGCGUAAAGCGCACGUAGGCGGCUUUCUAAGUCAGGGGUGAAAUCCUGGAGCUCAACUCCAGAACUGCCUUUGAUACUGGAGAGCUUGAGUCCGGAAGAGGUGAGUGGAACUCCGAGUGUAGAGGUGAAAUUCGUAGAUAUUCGGAAGAACACCGGUGGCGAAGGCGAGUCCCUGGACAACCCCUGACACUGAGGCACGAAAGCUAGGGGAGCAAACAGG
This 253-nucleotide ribosomal RNA is filed under the name uncultured bacterium. RNAcentral describes it as "partial 16S ribosomal RNA". It matches the Rfam family "Bacterial small subunit ribosomal RNA", at positions 524 to 776 of the family's 1533-position model. The record is from RNAcentral.